UUUAAGCAUAGCCAUAAGUUUCCAUGUCAACUUUGAUCGUCUAUUUUAUUUGAAAUUUUUUUUAUGAUUAGUAUUUUUAUUGCUAUAAGAUAAUAAAACAUGAAUAAUACUUUAUGCGUGACUUAUGUUUUUAAUUUUUUUCCAAAAUCUUUUUAAAUAAGACGGACGAUUAAAGUUGGACACGGAGAUUCAUGUCUGCACUUAAA
This is a microRNA precursor of Oryza sativa Indica Group (long-grained rice), 206 nucleotides long. It matches the Rfam family "MIR812 microRNA precursor family". The record is from Rfam. Lineage: Eukaryota; Viridiplantae; Streptophyta; Magnoliopsida; Poales; Poaceae.